CAGGGAGCCUUCAUUAGAAAAUCUCUCUCUCUUUGCUCGGUGUGAUGCACCACAAUCUGGGCUUCAACUCUUUCUUUACAGAAUCCUAAAGGAUAAAAUAACUGAAACUUUCACAGCCUAGUGCUCACCAUCAUGAGCUUAUGUGCCAGAGAUGACCUUGAUACACUGUCUUCACACACAGAAAGGGGCAUCCCACAUCCACAGCGGGAGGUGCACCAGGGGGAAGAGCCACGUGGUGAGGAAGAGUCAUGUCUAUCCAGAAUGGCAAGCUGACGUUUCCAACAAUGCUGCCUUGUUGGGAUGUGGCAGCCUCCAGCAGGGGAAGCGGAGUUUAACUGUGAAUAGCAAUGCCACGUGCUCCCAGGGCAAUUUUUCCAGGUCAUUUAAUGCUAAUAAACAAAAACCCACAGCAAAGUUAAAGGCGACCCAUAGCCUAGCCACAACUAUGAAGGCAGUAGGUUUAGGAAUUGGUUUGCUUCCAGAGAUGUUAAAGGUUUGGAAAAAUUAACUGUGAUAUGUUGAUGAGAAGAUUUAUGAGAGGAUCAAGGAGAUAUAAAAAUGAAAGAGUCAACAAUAUCAGAGCAUGACAUGAGAUAGUGAAGUAUUUUAUUUCCAUUGCUUUCAAUAUUAUCUCUUGUGUGUUAGCAGGAAACAAUCUGAGCAGGGAGACUGCAUAGCAGAGGUACGGAAAAUAGAUGUGAUCAUUUUCCACAGACGGAAUGAGCACCACUCUAGAUAUUUUAUAACUUGCUAGUGUUUUAUGUCAUUUCUUCAGACAUCUGCGCAUUAGAGUGACUGAGAACUGCAAAUGAUGUAUAGUUAAGAUAUCCCCCUAUAAUUAAGCUGAAAUAAUGCUGGAUUAUUCUAGCAUAAUUAUAGGGGGCUAUUUUAACUAUUAGCUCAUUAAAAAGCUAUGAUGCAAAUCUCAUUCUGAAAGAGACGAAAAAAUGAGGGUAUAUGAACAAAAUGUCAGUGGUCCUCUGCUGAGACCAGAUGGAGAGGUAUAACUAUAUUCCAUUUAUCAGUCAAUAUAUUUAAUUAUAGCCAGGCUUGGAUGGAGCCUACAAUGGUGUUUAUUAUAUUUAGUGUUUGCAGAUGAAUAUGGUGAUUCAGAAAUGCUUGGGAAGGGAAUGUGAUACCUAUGCAAAAGGGUAGAGUUUAGCU
RNAcentral lists this long non-coding RNA (1164 nucleotides) under Zonotrichia albicollis (white-throated sparrow). RNAcentral describes it as "lncRNA (ENSZALG00000017007.1)". The record is from RNAcentral. Lineage: Eukaryota; Metazoa; Chordata; Aves; Passeriformes; Passerellidae.